CCGAGGGCGAAUGUUGUGUAAUGUUUUUAUGUAAUGAAUGUGAUGUCAUACAACAGUAUGGGUAAUGUUGUUGAGUUCUGAUUGGCUGCGUUCGCGUCUGACCCCCGAGCAUGCUUAUAUUCCUAAACAAAAAUAUGUAGGCUGGAGUUACUGUAUGCUAUGGACAGUAGGGACAGUCACCACCGUAUGGGUUAUUUCCCCCUGGGUUUAGCAGCUGUCAGUCCAUCCCUUGCCAAGAGGAUGAGCUGAAACAUCUGGAGAAUCCAUGGACCCCCUCCACUGACUCUGUUAUAAUGUGCUAUGAGAUAAGCAGCCAUAUGGAGAAGCACACCCUCAGAAUAACCUCCGCCCACCAGUUUCUCAGAGCUACAGAAGGGUGCGUGGUCACAGGGCAUCACGGUGGGACCUCCGGGCGGACGGACGGCACCAGGGAGUGGCGG
Molecule: long non-coding RNA, 440 nt
Organism: Gadus morhua (Atlantic cod)
Lineage: Eukaryota; Metazoa; Chordata; Actinopteri; Gadiformes; Gadidae
Exons: 4
Source: RefSeq, a predicted model, not a curated record